AGAGUGAACGCUGGCGGUAGGCCUAACACAUGCAAGUCGAACGGCAGCACAGGAGAGCUUGCUCUCUGGGUGGCGAGUGGCGGACGGGUGAGGAAUACAUCGGAAUCUACCUUUUCGUGGGGGAUAACGUAGGGAAACUUACGCUAAUACCGCAUAAGACCUUCGGGUGAAAGCCGGGGACCUUCGGGCCUGGCGCGGAUAGAUGAGCCGAUGUCGGAUUAGCUUGUUGGCGGGUAAAAGCCCACCAAGGCGACGAUCCGUAGCUGGUCUGAGAGGAUGAUCAGCCACACUGGAACUGAGACACGGUCCAGACUCCUACGGGAGGCAGCAGUGGGAAUAUGGACAAUGGCGCAAGCCUGAUCCAGCCAUACCGCGUGGGUGAAGAAGGCCUUACGGUUGUAAAGCCCUUUUAGUUACGGUAAAGUAAAGUCCGUAGACCCGUAAUUUAAAGUACUUACGAAGUAA
This 465-nucleotide ribosomal RNA is filed under the name uncultured soil bacterium. RNAcentral's name for it is "bacterial SSU rRNA". It matches the Rfam family "Bacterial small subunit ribosomal RNA", at positions 26 to 493 of the family's 1533-position model. The record is from RNAcentral.